GGUGGGAGCUGGCUUGCCUGCGAAAGCGGUGGGUCAGCCAACCUUUUUAUAGCUGAUACUCCGCCAUCGCAGGCAAGCCAGCUCCCACA
This 89-nucleotide unclassified non-coding RNA is filed under the name Pseudomonas sp. bs2935. The record is from RNAcentral. Lineage: Bacteria; Pseudomonadati; Pseudomonadota; Gammaproteobacteria; Pseudomonadales; Pseudomonadaceae.